AUGGUAACAAAAGCAACUGGGUGAAGGGAAGGCACGAGAAAUGAAAAGUAUAUAAAAUGGAGAAUUUUGGAAUCAUGAGCUCACCGUUGUAAUUCUUCGAAGGUGUUUAUGUCUUCCUUUUUGAGUACCUUCAGGGCACAGUAUAUAUUUGCCGGAAGGUACUCAACAAGUAGAACCUGGAAUUAGAGAGUGGGUUUAGUAACAUUGAAUGUUCCCCUGUAUUUAAUGCUAAGUUCUAAUUAGAGACUGAAUUAAUUACCUUGCCAAAACUCCCCCUGCCUAAAACUUUUAUCCGGCGAAAGUCUCUUGCCGAAAAGCUGCAGAACUGUAGCUCUCUGCAACGGAAGAAACAGGAAUUUUGUUUUGUGCAAAAAAAAAAAAUAUAUAUAUAUAAAAUGUAAGUGUUCAUUUUCAGUAUUGAGGGUUUGUCUUACUGAGUGCUUUGUGUCUCCUCUGAUGGCUCCUCUGCCUGGCAAUCCUGAGUUGGGCAGUAAUCACCAGGGUGAGGGUCCUUCGAUGUUUCAGAGGAGUCUUCUCCAUGCACUUGCACGUCGCUAUUGGAAUAAGGCUGUUGUUCCGGCUCGGCAAAAAGAGAUUCCGCCUCUCCCUGAACCUCCUCCUCUUGUGCUGGUAAGUCACUCUUUUUGAUGGAUGUAUAUACAGCCUUCAUGCCA
This is a long non-coding RNA of Xenopus tropicalis (tropical clawed frog), 674 nucleotides long. RefSeq lists it as uncharacterized. The transcript has 3 exons. Lineage: Eukaryota; Metazoa; Chordata; Amphibia; Anura; Pipidae. The record is from RefSeq and is a predicted model, not a curated record.